AAAAAUCCGGGGGGUUAAUGCCGAGGCGCGGGACCAGGAGAACUUGUUCUCUGAAGUCGCGGAUACCCUGCUUCCAGGAAAAGCCACUAAGCUUCAGCCCGUUGGGACCGUACCGCAAACCGACACAGGUGGGCAGGAUGAAAAUUCUCAGGCGCUUGAGAGAACUCAGGAGAAGGAACUCGGCAAAUUGACACCGUAACUUCGGAAGAAGGUGUGCCUCUGGUAGGUGUAGGGACUUGCUCCCGAAGCCGAAAGAGGCCGCAGAGAAUCGGUGGCUGCGACUGUUUAUCAAAAACACAGCACUCUGCUAAGACGUUGGAAGUCGACGUAUAGGGUGUGACGCCUGCCCGGUGCCGGAAGGUUAAGUGAUGGGGUGAAAGCUCUUGAUCGAAGCCCCGGUAAACGGCGGCCGUAACUAUAACGGUCCUAAGGUAGCGAAAUUCCUUGUCGGGUAAGUUCCGACCCGCACGAAUGGCGUAACGAUGGCCACACUGUCUCCUCCUGAGACUCAGCGAAGUUGAAAUGUUUGUGAAGAUGCAAUCUACCCGCGGCUAGACGGAAAGACCCCAUGAACCUUUACUGUAGCUUUGCAUUGGACUGUGACGCUGUCUGUGUAGGAUAGCUGGGAGGCUUUGAAGCGGUGCCGCUAGGUGCCGUGGAGCCAACGUUGAAAUACCAGCCUGACGACGUUGCGGUUCUAACCUGGGCCCCUUGACGGGGUCGGGGACCGUGCAUGGUAGGCAGUUUGACUGGGGCGGUCUCCUCCCAAAGGGUAACGGAGGAGUGCGAAGGUCACCUAGGUACGGUCGGAAAUCGUACUCAUAGUGCAAUGGCAUAAGGUGGCUUGACUGCGAGACCGACAAGUCGAGCAGGUGCGAAAGCAGGUCAUAGUGAUCCGGUGAUUCUGAAUGGAAGGGUCAUCGCUCAACGGAUAAAAGGUACUCUGGGAUAACAGGCUGAUUCCUCCCAAGAGUUCAUAUCGACGGGGGAGUUUGGCACCUCGAUGUCGGCUCAUCACAUCCUGGGGCUGUAGCCGGUCCCAAGGGUAUGGCUGUUCGCCAUUUAAAGUGGUACGUGAGCUGGGUUCAAAACGUCGUGAGACAGUUUGGUCCCUAUCUGCCGUGGGCGCUGGAGAUUUGACGGGGGCUGCUCCUAGUACGAGAGGACCGGAGUGGACGUAUCCCUGGUGUACCGGUUGUCACGCCAGUGGCAUUGCCGGGUAGCUAUAUACGGAAGAGAUAACCGCUGAAAGCAUCUAAGCGGGAAACUCGCCUGAAGAUGAGAUCUCCCGGAGCUUCGAGCUCCCUAAAGGGUCGUGGUAGACCACCACGUUGAUAGGCCGGGUGUGCACGAGCAGUAAUGCUCUGAGCUGACCGGUACUAAUUGCCCGUGCGGCUUGACUCU
This 1404-nucleotide ribosomal RNA is filed under the name metagenome. RNAcentral describes it as "bacterial LSU rRNA". It matches the Rfam family "Bacterial large subunit ribosomal RNA", at positions 1536 to 2925 of the family's 2925-position model. The record is from RNAcentral.